This 87-nucleotide transfer RNA is filed under the name Arenimonas sp. Its description in RNAcentral is "tRNA-Leu". It matches the Rfam family "tRNA". Rfam says of the family: Transfer RNA (tRNA) molecules are approximately 80 nucleotides in length. Their secondary structure includes four short double-helical elements and three loops (D, anti-codon, and T loops). Further hydrogen bonds mediate the characteristic L-shaped molecular structure. tRNAs have two regions of fundamental functional importance: the anti-codon, which is responsible for specific mRNA codon recognition, and the 3' end, to which the tRNAs corresponding amino acid is attached (by aminoacyl-tRNA synthetases). tRNAs cope with the degeneracy of the genetic code in two manners: having more than one tRNA (with a specific anti-codon) for a particular amino acid; and 'wobble' base-pairing, i.e. permitting non-standard base-pairing at the 3rd anti-codon position. The record is from RNAcentral. Lineage: Bacteria; Pseudomonadati; Pseudomonadota; Gammaproteobacteria; Lysobacterales; Lysobacteraceae.
GCCCGGGUGGCGAAACUGGUAGACGCAUGGGACUUAAAAUCCCCCGGCCGCAAGGCCAUGUGGGUUCGACUCCCACCCCGGGCACCA